This 507-nucleotide ribosomal RNA is filed under the name uncultured Desulfobulbus sp. Its description in RNAcentral is "bacterial SSU rRNA". It matches the Rfam family "Bacterial small subunit ribosomal RNA", at positions 904 to 1382 of the family's 1533-position model. The record is from RNAcentral. Lineage: Bacteria; Pseudomonadati; Thermodesulfobacteriota; Desulfobulbia; Desulfobulbales; Desulfobulbaceae.
UUGCCAGCCCGCUCAAGAAACUUAAUGAAUUGACGGGGGCCCGCACAAGCGGUGGAGUAUGUGGUUUAAUUCGAUGCAACGCGAAGAACCUUACCUGGUCUUGACAUCCCGGAGACCCUUAGGAAACUAGGGGGUGCUUCCAUCUGGAAGAAUCUGGAGACAGGUGCUGCAUGGCUGUCGUCAGCUCGUGCCGUGAGAUGUUGGGUUAAGUCCCGCAACGAGCGCAACCCUUGCCUUUAGUUGCCAGCAGUUCGGCUGGGCACUCUAAAGGGACUGCCGGUGUUAAACCGGAGGAAGGUGGGGAUGACGUCAAGUCCUCAUGGCCUUUAUGACCAGGGCUACACACGUACUACAAUGGCCGAUACAAAGGGCAGCGACACUGCGAGGUGAAGCCAAUCCCGUAAAAUCGGUCUCAGUCCGGAUUGGAGUCUGCAACUCGACUCCAUGAAGUUGGAAUCGCUAGUAAUCGUGGAUCAGCAUGCCACGGUGAAUACGUUCCCGGGCCUU